RNAcentral lists this ribosomal RNA (1052 nucleotides) under fungal endophyte. RNAcentral describes it as "eukaryotic LSU rRNA". The stretch from base 468 to 1052 matches the Rfam family "Eukaryotic large subunit ribosomal RNA", at positions 1 to 597 of the family's 3401-position model. The record is from RNAcentral. Lineage: Eukaryota; Fungi.
GAUCAUUACCGAGUUUACAACUCCCAAACCCCUGUGAACAUACCAAUUGUUGCCUCGGCGGAUCAGCCCGCUCCCGGUAAAACGGGACGGCCCGCCAGAGGACCCCUAAACUCUGUUUCUAUAUGUAACUUCUGAGUAAAACCAUAAAUAAAUCAAAACUUUCAACAACGGAUCUCUUGGUUCUGGCAUCGAUGAAGAACGCAGCAAAAUGCGAUAAGUAAUGUGAAUUGCAGAAUUCAGUGAAUCAUCGAAUCUUUGAACGCACAUUGCGCCCGCCAGUAUUCUGGCGGGCAUGCCUGUUCGAGCGUCAUUUCAACCCUCAAGCCCAGCUUGGUGUUGGGACUCGCGAGUCAAAUCGCGUUCCCCAAAUUGAUUGGCGGUCACGUCGAGCUUCCAUAGCGUAGUAGUAAAACCCUCGUUACUGGUAAUCGUCGCGGCCACGCCGUUAAACCCCAACUUCUGAAUGUUGACCUCGGAUCAGGUAGGAAUACCCGCUGAACUUAAGCAUAUCAAUAAGCGGAGGAAAAGAAACCAACAGGGAUUGCCCUAGUAACGGCGAGUGAAGCGGCAACAGCUCAAAUUUGAAAUCUGGCUCUCGGGCCCGAGUUGUAAUUUGUAGAGGAUACUUUUGAUGCGGUGCCUUCCGAGUUCCCUGGAACGGGACGCCAUAGAGGGUGAGAGCCCCGUCUGGUUGGAUGCCAAAUCUCUGUAAAGUUCCUUCGACGAGUCGAGUAGUUUGGGAAUGCUGCUCUAAAUGGGAGGUAUAUGUCUUCUAAAGCUAAAUACCGGCCAGAGACCGAUAGCGCACAAGUAGAGUGAUCGAAAGAUGAAAAGCACUUUGAAAAGAGAGUUAAAAAGUACGUGAAAUUGUUGAAAGGGAAGCGUUUAUGACCAGACUUGGGCUUGGUUGAUCAUCUGGGGUUCUCCCCAGUGCACUCUUCCAGUCCAGGCCAGCAUCAGUUUUCGCCGGGGGAUAAAGACUUCGGGAAUGUGGCUCUCUUCGGGGAGUGUUAUAGCCCGUUGUGUAAUACCCUGGCGGGGACUGAGGUCGC